UCUCCGUUGGUGAACCAGCGGAGGGAUCAUUACCGAGUUCCAGCAACUCCCAACCCUUGCGAACCGUACCCCAGUCUGUUCUCGUUGCUUCCGGCAGGCGGGGGUGGCCACCUGGCCCCUCCCCCUGCCGGGGGCGGCGGGCCCUCUGAACCUUUAUAACUCAACCACUGACACCCGGCUUAGCAAAACAAAAAAUAAUCAAAACUUUCAACAACGGAUCUCUUGGCUCUG
Molecule: unclassified non-coding RNA, 231 nt
Filed under: plant metagenome
Description: partial contains small subunit ribosomal RNA, internal transcribed spacer 1, and 5.8S ribosomal RNA
Source: RNAcentral